UAUGCCUGGACGUAACACAGCAACACCCCGCUCGCCAAAUAACUACGAGUGAAAACUUAAAACUUAAAGGACUUGACGGUACUUCACACCCAACCUAGAGGAGCCUGUCUACUAACCGAUAAUCCACGAUUAACCCAACCACUUCUAGCCACCCAGCCUAUAUACCACCGUCGCCAGCCUACCUUGUAAAAGAAACAAAGUGAGCUAAACAGUAUUACACUAACACGACAGGUCAAGGUGUAACUAAUGAAGCGGAUCAAGAUGGGCUACAUUCUCUAACCCAGAUUAUACGAACAAGGCUAUGAAACUACCCUUUAAAGGCGGAUUUAGCAGUAAGCUGAGAACAAAGUACUCAACUGAAAUCAAUGCAAUGAAGUGCGUACACACCGCCCGUCACCCUCUGCAGUCACUUUA
RNAcentral lists this ribosomal RNA (414 nucleotides) under Uropeltis madurensis (Madura earth snake). RNAcentral's name for it is "partial small subunit ribosomal RNA". The record is from RNAcentral. Lineage: Eukaryota; Metazoa; Chordata; Lepidosauria; Squamata; Uropeltidae.